CGCGCAAGCUAGCACUCCUGAGAAGGGCGAUCUGAUUGGGGCUUCAAGUGGACUUUUCAUAGAAAUCAGACAUCUGUGUGACUAUGAGCAACUAGCGAGGAUCUUCUUUACUAUAUCUCUCAGUAGUGGCAAUCAUCGACCUAUGCUCAGAUAUUGAGUUCUAAAUUCAGAUAGAUGUAGAUUUGAUCUACUGCUUAUAUCCAUGCAUGCAGAUUUUAUCUUCUAUUCUUUUCAGAU
This 237-nucleotide long non-coding RNA is filed under the name Elaeis guineensis (African oil palm). RNAcentral's name for it is "long non-coding RNA (EGUI_LNC064109)". Lineage: Eukaryota; Viridiplantae; Streptophyta; Magnoliopsida; Arecales; Arecaceae. The record is from RNAcentral.